This 424-nucleotide ribosomal RNA is filed under the name Fusobacteriota bacterium. Its description in RNAcentral is "Fusobacteria bacterium partial 16S ribosomal RNA". It matches the Rfam family "Bacterial small subunit ribosomal RNA", at positions 355 to 776 of the family's 1533-position model. The record is from RNAcentral. Lineage: Bacteria; Fusobacteriati; Fusobacteriota.
UGAGGAAUAUUGGUCAAUGGGCGAGAGCCUGAACCAGCCAAGUAGCGUGCAGGAUGACGGCCCUAUGGGUUGUAAACUGCUUUUAUGUGGGGAUAAAGUGCGUGACGUGUAAUGCAUUGCAGGUACCACAUGAAUAAGGACCGGCUAAUUCCGUGCCAGCAGCCGCGGUAAUACGGAAGGUCCGGGCGUUAUCCGGAUUUAUUGGGUUUAAAGGGAGCGUAGGCUGUCUAUUAAGCGUGUUGUGAAAUUUACCGGCUCAACCGGUGGCUUGCAGCGCGAACUGGUCGACUUGAGUAUGCAGGAAGUAGGCGGAAUUCAUGGUGUAGCGGUGAAAUGCUUAGAUAUCAUGACGAACUCCGAUUGCGCAGGCAGCUUACUGUAGCAUAACUGACGCUGAUGCUCGAAAGUGCGGGUAUCAAACAGG